RNAcentral lists this unclassified non-coding RNA (285 nucleotides) under plant metagenome. RNAcentral's name for it is "partial contains small subunit ribosomal RNA, internal transcribed spacer 1, and 5.8S ribosomal RNA". The stretch from base 1 to 54 matches the Rfam family "Eukaryotic small subunit ribosomal RNA", at positions 1778 to 1831 of the family's 1831-position model. The record is from RNAcentral.
GGAAGUAAAAGUCGUAACAAAGUUUCCGUAGGUGAACCUGCGGAAGGAUCAUUAUUGUAUAACCGAGGUGCGAGGGCUGUCGCUGACCCGAAAGGUCGUGCACGCCCGAGUGCCCUCACACACAUCCAUCUCACCCCUAUGUGCACCACCGCGUGGGUCCCCCUUUGACUUGUUCGGAGGGGGGCUUACGUUUUCACACAAACUUUGUAUGCAGUGUAGAAUGUAUUUUUUGUUUUUGCGAUCACGCAAUCAAUACAACUCUCAACAACGGAUCUCUUGGCUCUC